Glycine soja is the source of this 2953-nucleotide RNA transcript. It is a transcript of the gene named putative U-box domain-containing protein 58, with no coding region annotated. The transcript has 5 exons. NCBI's taxonomy places the organism in Eukaryota, Viridiplantae, Streptophyta, Magnoliopsida, Fabales, Fabaceae. The record is from RefSeq and is a predicted model, not a curated record.
GAUGUAGUAAAUAUCACGGUGGCAUUUUUGAAAUUUACAUGAACUUUUUGACAUGUUAACGACGGUUAUUGUGAAACCGGCCUCGAUAUGCAUGUUACCACGACGGUUUUAGAAAAACCGCCUUUGUUUGUAAGUAGACCACGACGAUUUUCUAUACCACGUCUUUGUAUAGACUGACUUUUCAUUUUAUCUCUCUCUUAUCUUAUAUUCUCGGUGUAUACACACUCGCCCUUCAUUUUCUCUCUCUUAUCUUAUCUUCUCCGCUAGCUGACCCUUCAUUUUUUCUCUCUUAUCUUAUCUUCUUCGCUAGCUAACCCUUCAUUUUCCCUCUCUCUGGCAGAGAACGUUUGUGUAUGUCUGAAUCUCUGGACCCCAAAGCACAACAACAACCCAUCUCCAUGGCUGAUGACUCCUCCUCAACAUUGCAGAUUCAAAACCUCAAAAACCUCAACGCCCUCCUUCUCAAGGAGACCACCCAACACCGCCAGCAGAUUCACUCUCUCCAAUCCGCUGUCAUAUUCGACACCAACCUCACCUUUGACCUCCAAAAUGCUGUUGUUUCUGUCUUCUUCAAGAACCAGCUCUAGGAAAUGAACCUCCGCUUCGACUCGCUGGUCGGAGAUAGGGACUACGAGGUUUCUGCUCUCAAGCACCAGCUCAGCGACCUCGUCGCUUGUCUCGAGAACAAAACAACUGCUCUCGCUGAGGAGCGUGACAGACUCGUUCGCGAGAUGAAGCGACUGAAGGCGAGCGUCGAUCGAGAGAGGAAGCUUCUGGAGGAAGCGGAGAAGGAUAGGUCGGAAGGCGAAGAGGUUUUGUCUCGAAAACAGAGAGACAUUGCGAAACUGAAAAUUGAGCGAGAUUUGGCGGUUAAGAGUUCUCAGGAGUCGUGUACUACGAUUGGAACGUUGAAGGAGGCGAUUGAAGCGGUGAGUAGGGAGAAGAGUGAGAUUCAAAGCCGAAACAAUGCUCUAGAGACGAAAAUCGGUUAUCUAGAAACUGAGUUGAAGCAACUCAACGAUUAUACGAAGAAGGAAGAAGAGAUUACGCGUGCGAAGAUUCUCGAAUUGGAAGGGAACCUUGGCAUUGCCAUGCAAAAGGAAGAGGAGAUGAAAAUGGGGAUAAGUGCUCAUCUGAAGGAGAAGAAGGAGGUGAAAAUGAAUGUUGACAGAGGAAAACAUAUGGUGUUCAUAAGGCUCUGAGUGUGGUUCAGAAGGAGUUGGAGGAUAAGUAGCAUGAGCUUGAUGAAGCUGUUAAGGGGAGGAGUGAGAUUGAGGAGGUCAAGGUCAAUCUCGAGAAUAAAAUUGUUGAGUUGCGAGGGAUAGUGUUGUCGGAGACGGUGGUGGUCAUGGAGAGGUUCAGCUUGAAGGUGAUGCUGGGCGCCGUGGAGAGGAAGGAAACCUAAGAGGCUUUCAAUGCUAUGUUGCCCAACGUCCUCGUCAUCCAGGUUGGUUAUCUUUCCUAAACCAUAUGAUAACUCAUCCUUAAAAGAAAUUAUUCGUUAAUAUAUAUGGAUACGCAAUGAAACCAAAUUAUACACACCAAGUCUAUGUACGCCUUUGUUAGGAGUUGCUUUAUUUUUUUUCUUUAUAUUCCACCACAUUAUUGAUUAUUGAAUUGGACGACACGAGUACAUGCUCCUAGGAAUAAAUGGUCUUGAGGUCCAGCAGUGCUUUCUAGUCCUCACGAGUAUACAUUGAUUAUUGAUUGGAUGUUCUUACCUGCAUCUCUGUGGAUUAGCUUGGUGUGGAUGGAGUUGUUCUUACCAAUGAGUUUUCUAAUAUAUUGUGCUGUAAGUGUUUGUUAAAAUUACUAUGAAAGUAAUUAGCUUGGUGUGGAUGGAGUUGUUCUUACCAAUGAGUUUUCUAAUAUAUUGUGCUGUAAGUGUUUGUUAAAAUUACUAUGAAAGUACAAGUCUUGUGUUUUUCUUAACUUGAAGAUAUAUAUAGUGUGGAUUAACUUGUGUUUGUUAAAAUUACUCAAUGAAAAGAUUUUUUGUUUAUAUCGAAAGGCAAGCAUAAGAUCUACAUGUGUUUGCUGGGAGGUUUUCUAGCAGAUUCCUUCCUUGGCCGAUACAAGACAAUUGGAAUCUUUGCUUCAAUACAAACGCUGGUUAGUUACAUCAAUUACUAGUGACUACUUUUGUCAUAAAAAUUUAGUCAACCUUAUUGGCAUAUUCAUUUAUAUAAGAGUGAAUUACACGGACUUCUCCUCCUGAGUUUUGUUUUUAUUAUUACACCUAGUAACUUUUUUAUUUUUUUACUUUGAGUUUGUGGGGAUAGGUAAAAGAUACAGAUACAAGAGGAGUUUCGGGAGCCCCAUUGUCCACAUUUUCCAAGUUAUUGCUGCAUCAAUAAAGAAAAGAAAGAUGCAACUCCCAUACAAUGUUGGUUCUUUGUAUGAGGACACUCCCGAGGCUUCAAGAAUAGAGCACACCGAACAGUUCCGUAAACUUCCUUAAUUCCAAAGAAGCUACUUUGGGCAUGGUGACUAGGAUUUGUCAUACAUAAAAUGAUCAAUCAGGGCUACACUAAGAGAAGCUGCUCGAGCGAAAUGCUUCAACGGAUGAAGAGUUCAAUCAGUUACAAGCAAGAAAGAGCUCUCCUAAUCGCUUGCUAUUUUCAGCCAAGAUAAUGUACAAGUUAGGGAUAUCAUCAUCAAAGAUCAACUUGUUGCUUCCCAUCCUCAAGGAAUUUGCUAAGAUUACAAGGGAAGGAUCUUUGGCACUUGUAGCACUUCCAUUUGAUGGCAUACUUGGACUUGGAUUCCAGGAUACUUCAGUUGGAAAAGUCACACCAGUGUGUUACACACCAGAACUUCAUUAAUUCAUUUUUGUGUUUAUUGAUGUUUCUUCUUUCCAUUUUAAAUUUGAAUAGAAGUGCAAGAAUAAUGGUGUGAUUGUAUUUUUUUUUAUAAUAAUAUGGGAGAAGGAUAAUCAGACUUCCCUUUUUUA